Molecule: long non-coding RNA, 654 nt
Filed under: Oncorhynchus mykiss (rainbow trout)
Lineage: Eukaryota; Metazoa; Chordata; Actinopteri; Salmoniformes; Salmonidae
Description: lncRNA (ENSOMYG00000022953.2)
Source: RNAcentral
UAGUACCGCAGAAAUUUACCUGGUCACCUGACACGACUCCUCCCACAGUGCUACGCAAGGCAGCGCUCCUCACAAAUCUCACCACGUUCCGAUGGAGUGGGGUUUGCAUGUCUGUUUCGAGGGAUUGAGUCAAAACAAGCUCUGAAAAAAACGGGGCUCAGUUUCCCUAAUGUCCUCCUUCAAAUUAAUUAGUGAUGAGAGUGGCUGAUGCUCUGAGUGUAUUUCUGUGAGGGAUAAAGGACGACAGUUUUAGGCUCUUGUAGUCAGCUGCUGGUGUAAAAGUGCAAUCCGUUGGUUCAUCUGUGACUGAACUCGAGCCAGACCGAUGUCUCUCGGAGAUUCCAUCACUAUCGCCGACCUCAUGCAAGGAUUUUGGUAGGCCCACAUCUCUGGAGGGUACAUGCAAGCUGUGUCGAGGAAGAAGCAACACCGGGACGUCCAUAGAGUUGGAGACUUCCGGGCCUGUAUUCAUAAAGCUUUUCAAGAUGUGCUCUGGACUGGCUGUGAUUUCUCCUCCUCAUGCUCGAUGGCAGACGAAGACAGCCGCUCUGUCCACGUGAGCUUUGAUCACAAAGAGAUGGCUCUGAUCCACAGCUAAACCUGAUCCACUGCUCUCCUGUCUCUCUGACCGUCCCCUCUCCUCUGUUUUCCUCU